GAUGAACGCUGGCGGCGUGCCUAAUACAUGCAAGUCGAGCGAACAGACGAGGAGCUUGCUCCUCUGACGUUAGCGGCGGACGGGUGAGUAACACGUGGAUAACCUACCUAUAAGACUGGGAUAACUUCGGGAAACCGGAGCUAAUACCGGAUAAUAUAUUGAACCGCAUGGUUCAAUAGUGAAAGACGGUUUUGCUGUCACUUAUAGAUGGAUCCGCGCCGCAUUAGCUAGUUGGUAAGGUAACGGCUUACCAAGGCGACGAUGCGUAGCCGACCUGAGAGGGUGAUCGGCCACACUGGAACUGAGACACGGUCCAGACUCCUACGGGAGGGAGCAGUAGGGAAUCUUCCGCAAUGGGCGAAAGCCUGACGGAGCAACGCCGCGUGAGUGAUGAAGGUCUUCGGAUCGUAAAACUCUGUUAUUAGGGAAGAACAAAUGUGUAAGUAACUAUGCACGUCUUGACGGUACCUAAUCAGAAAGCCACGGCUAACUACAUG
RNAcentral lists this ribosomal RNA (497 nucleotides) under uncultured bacterium. RNAcentral describes it as "partial 16S ribosomal RNA". It matches the Rfam family "Bacterial small subunit ribosomal RNA", at positions 28 to 507 of the family's 1533-position model. The record is from RNAcentral.